This 499-nucleotide ribosomal RNA is filed under the name uncultured bacterium. RNAcentral describes it as "partial 16S ribosomal RNA". It matches the Rfam family "Bacterial small subunit ribosomal RNA", at positions 29 to 523 of the family's 1533-position model. The record is from RNAcentral.
AUUGAACGCUGGCGGAAUGCUUUACACAUGCAAGUCGAGCGGCAGCGCGGGGCAACCUGGCGGCGAGCGGCGAACGGGUGAGUAACAUAUGGGAACGUACCCAUUGGUGGGGGAUAACACAUCGAAAGAUGUGCUAAUACCGCAUACGACCUGAGGGAGAAAGGGGGGGAUCGCAAGGCCUCUCGCCGUUGGAGCGCCCGAGAUACGGAUUAGCUAGUUGGUGGGGUAAAGGCACACCAAGGCGACGAUCCGUAGCUGGUCUGAGAGGACGACCAGCCACACUGGGACUGAGACACGGCCCAGACUCCUACGCGAGGCAGCAGUGGGGAAUUUUGGACAAUGGGGGCAAGCCUGAUCCAGCCAUUCCGCGUGAGUGAAGAAGGCCUUCGGGUUGUAAAGCUCUUUCAGCAGGAACGAAACGGUGUGGGUUAAUACCCUGCAUCAAUGACGGUACCUGAAGAAGAAGCACCGGCUAACUACGUGCCAGCAGCCGCCGUAA